RNAcentral lists this ribosomal RNA (454 nucleotides) under uncultured bacterium. RNAcentral's name for it is "bacterial SSU rRNA". It matches the Rfam family "Bacterial small subunit ribosomal RNA", at positions 340 to 786 of the family's 1533-position model. The record is from RNAcentral.
UACGGAAGGCAGCAGUGGGGAAUAUUGCACAAUGGGCGCAAGCCUGAUGCAGCCAUGCCGCGUGUAUGAAAAAGGCCUUCGGGUUGUAAAGUACUUUCAGUCGUGAGGAAGGUGUUAAGGUUAAUAACCUUAGCAAUUGACGUUAGCGACAGAAGAAGCACCGGCUAACUCCGUGCCAGCAGCCGCGGUAAUACGGAGGGUGCGAGCGUUAAUCGGAAUUACUGGGCGUUAAAGGGCACGCAGGCGGUUAAUUAAGUUGGAUGUGAAAUCCCCGGGCUUAACCUGGGAAUGGCAUUCAAGACUGGUUAGCUAGAGUCUUGUAGAGGGGGUAGAAUUCCAUGUGUAGCGGUGAAAUGCGUAGAGAUGUGGAGGAAUACCGGUGGCGAAGGCGGCCCCUGGACAAAGACUGACGCUCAUGUGCGAAAGCGUGGGGAGCAAACAGGGAUUAGAUACC